AGAGUUUGAUCCUGGCUCAGAUUGAACGCUGGCGGCAUGCCUUACACAUGCAAGUCGAGCGGCAGCGCGGGGGCAACCCUGGCGGCGAGCGGCGAACGGGUGAGUAAUGCAUCGGAACGUGUCCUUUUGUGGGGGAUAACCAGUCGAAAGACUGGCUAAUACCGCAUGAGCUCGUAAGAGGAAAGCAGGGGACCGCAAGGCCUUGCGCGAGAGGAGCGGCCGAUGCCGGAUUAGCUAGUUGGUGGGGUAAAAGCCCACCAAGGCGACGAUCCGUAGCUGGUCUGAGAGGACGACCAGCCACACUGGGACUGAGACACGGCCCAGACUCCUACGGGAGGCAGCAGUGGGGAAUUUUGGACAAUGGGGGCAACCCUGAUCCAGCCAUGCCGCGUGUGUGAAGAAGGCCUUCGGGUUGUAAAGCACUUUCGGACGGAACGAAAUCGCGCGGGCGAAUAUCCCGCGUGGAUGACGGUACCGUAAGAAGAAGCACCGGCUAACUACGUGCCAGCAGCCGCGGUAAUACGUAGGGUGCAAGCGUUAAUCGGAAUUACUGGGCGUAAAGCGUGCGCAGGCGGUGAUGUAAGACAGAUGUGAAAUCCCCGGGCUCAACCUGGGAACUGCAUUUGUGACUGCAUCGCUGGAGUGCGGCAGAGGGGGAUGGAAUUCCGCGUGUAGCAGUGAAAUGCGUAGAUAUGCGGAGGAACACCGAUGGCGAAGGCAAUCCCCUGGGCCUGCACUGACGCUCAUGCACGAAAGCGUGGGGAGCAAACAGGAUUAGAUACCCUGGUAGUCCACGCCCUAAACGAUGUCAACUGGUUGUUGGGUCUUCACUGACUCAGUAACGAAGCUAACGCGUGAAGUUGACCGCCUGGGGAGUACGGCCGCAAGGUUGAAACUUAAAGGAAUUGACGG
RNAcentral lists this ribosomal RNA (912 nucleotides) under uncultured bacterium. Its description in RNAcentral is "bacterial SSU rRNA". It matches the Rfam family "Bacterial small subunit ribosomal RNA", at positions 8 to 916 of the family's 1533-position model. The record is from RNAcentral.